AUCUGUAAUGUAACAGAAAUAUUUCUUUAUUUUAUGUUAACCAACACUAUUAAAAAACUUUAUCGAAAUAUCGAUUGAAUAUUAAACAUCACUGUAAAAGAAAGAGGAAGCGUAAGAACACAAAGUUUUUAAAGCUCUCUUCUUUCUUUUUUCUCGCUCUCUUUUGUUUAUAUAUAAUUUAAAUAAAUAUAAUUUAUGAAUUUAUUAUAAAAAUAAAAGACGUGUUUGUGUUUUGAGUGCUCUAAAAAAAGAGCAAUGUGAAAAAAUAUGACGAAAUUACAAAAUAAAUCGACAAUUACAACCAUUGAGAUGUAGCGCAACAAAACUUGAAAAACUAACGAAUAGAAAAAUUCAGAAAAGAAAUUUCACCAAAAAUUCAGCUCCCAAAUGUACUGAAAUACACACAACCACACACCCUCGCACACACACAAACGCACACGCACACAGUAAGCCAACAACACUGGCAGCGAUACGUAAAAAAGUUAACAGAGCAACAGAAUCACGGGCCUGACUCGGGGCUCGUUCCUGAUGCUGGCUCUGGCUGAAUGUCCGGAGCAAAUGAAGGUGUCAAAAUGACAAGCAGACACAGCAAAAAAAAGCAGAAAAAAUAAAGAAACGAAGCCCUUGGACAAACACAAACACACACUCACACACAUAGACAGACACACACAUACAUACAUAUAUAGAAGAGCGCCUGCCUGGUCGGACGUGUAGUGGACGGAUGGAUGGAUGGAUAGCUCGGGCUGCCUGGACGGACGGGUCGAGCUGUCUGUCUGCUUGUCUGACUGGCUAACUGUAUAAACGCCAAAACGACAGCAGCAUUUGCUAACUUGCAGCUUCAACAAUAACAAUAACAACAUCAGCAGCAGAAGCAGCAAUAGUAAAAAGAAAAUACAAUAAAAACAAUACAAAUAC
Long non-coding RNA from Drosophila sulfurigaster albostrigata, 915 nucleotides. RefSeq lists it as uncharacterized. The transcript is spliced from 2 exons. The record is from RefSeq and is a predicted model, not a curated record. Lineage: Eukaryota; Metazoa; Arthropoda; Insecta; Diptera; Drosophilidae.